UACGGAGGGAGCUAGCGUUGUUCGGAAUUACUGGGCGUAAAGCGCACGUAGGCGGCUUUGUAAGUUAGAGGUGAAAGCCCGGGGCUCAACCCCGGAAUUGCCUUUAAGACUGCAUCGCUUGAAUCCAGGAGAGGUGAGUGGAAUUCCGAGUGUAGAGGUGAAAAUUCGUAGAUAUUCGGAAGAACACCAGUGGCGAAGGCGGCUCACUGGACUGGUAUUGACGCUGAGGUGGACG
Molecule: ribosomal RNA, 235 nt
Filed under: uncultured bacterium
Lineage: Bacteria
Description: partial 16S ribosomal RNA
Rfam family: Bacterial small subunit ribosomal RNA
Source: RNAcentral